CUGGCUGCCCAGCGGGCAUCCGGCCUCCGCGGAGGCGGUGGGCGAAGGAGUAAAAGCGGGCCCCGAGAGUGACCGGGGGUUGGAGCCGGAGCCGCGGCCGCUGGGGGAAGAUAAACAGAAGAUGAUAGGGAGCAAUGAAUCCUCUACUGAAGGACCAGUGCCUACAUCCUACUUAACCUUCCUGGCUUAUUUACUGGGAGAAUGGACUGGUAUAGAACACACUGAAACUUAUCUGAGUUAUGGAGUCUACCUUUCAUGGGUGCUUUUUCCACUUGCAAUAGCUUUUAUACUUCCAAUAGCUAUCUUCUUCUUCUGCCUCAACACUUCCCUUCUCCUUCUUCAUAUUCAUAAAAGGAGGAAGAAUGGAUUUAAUGAAGGACAUUCUGGUGAUGUUUGGUAUGGUGCAAAAGAAAUGUUGGCUAACCUGUGGGAUGGACAUGGGAGAAUAUGGCAUGGUUAUGAACUUCAUGGGGAUGAAAAUAUUCCAGAAGGACCAGCACUUAUUGUGUUUUAUCAUGGAGCUAGUCCUGUUGACUAUCUCUAUUUCAUGGCUAGACUUCUUAUACGAAGGAAGAGAUAUUGCCACGUAGUAGCGGAUCAUUUCGUCUUUAGAUUACCAGGUUUAAAAACGUUUAUUGAAGUACUUGGCAUUAUGCAUGGACCAAAAGAAGUAUGUGUCAGUGCUCUGAAGAAAGGCUAUCUGUUAGCUAUUUCUCCAGGCGGACUUCGGGAAGCACUCUUUAGUGAUGAAACAUAUCCUAUUAUGUGGGGUAAUCGAAAGGGCUUUGCCCAGGUGGCCAUUGAUGCAAAAGUGCCCAUCAUUCCUAUGUUUACACAAAAUGUUCGAGAAGGCAUUAGGACAUUAGGAGGAAUAAAAAUACUUAGGAAGCUGUAUGAACGUAUUAGAUUGCCAGUAGUUCCUAUGUAUGGCUGGUUUCCAGUCAAGCUUCGCACGUUUAUUGGAGAACCCAUUCCAUAUGAUCCAAAUAUAACUGCUGAGGAACUGACUGCGAAGACAAAAGCAGCACUCCAGGCUCUAAUAGCCAAACAUCAGAAAAUACCAGGAAGUAUACUGAGGGCUUUAAUGGAACGAUUUCAAACACGACAGAAAGAAGACUAAGGUCUUCUGAGCAGUGUGCCAAGCAAGAGAUGACAGAGGAGACAUGAAGAAGGAAAACAUACAAACCUGUAGUAUCAACCUUUUUGUGACAAGAUGAGGAUGUGCUACCUCCAAUUCAAUCAGAUUUGAUAAUAAAUUACUGGGAACAGCUCCUGUUUUGCAACUGAGUAAAAGGCAUUUGGCUAUACAUCAGUAAGCUGCAUCAAGAGAAGGUGGAAGUGAUUCAUCCCAUUGUAAAUGCCCUGCUGCUGGGGUGGAGUGAAAUCAAUGUGAAGAGAUUCAGCAGGUGGUGGCAGCUCGUUGAAGUAAAUAAAUCAAAUGAAGAAAACAUGACUAUUCCCAGAUAUGAUGACAAGUGACCAUAUCAAAGUCCGAGAAUUUGCAUGUCAGCAAAAAAGAUGAAGCUGGAGGCAAACGGUGACACAGGAUACCUACCAGAGCACUCUGACCAGCCAGAGGAAUUGAUCUGUGGGCAAGUUUCCUGCUGCUAUCAGGACGUUGGUAGGACACUCCUGAGGAUGCGAGACCUCUGGCCAAAUGCCACAUAGGCACAAGGUAACCUCGUAGCUUCUUUCCCACUCUGCGCUGGCAUGGAGGGCUGGAAUCAAAAUCGCUGUGAGAAGGUGACAACAUUUGAAAUGAAGACUCAGAUGUAACAGAUGGCAAGCACAGCCCCAAGCAAAAGUAGAUUCCCAAAGGAAAGCACAAAAACAAAUACCAAACAGGCCUUUAAAGUAAAUGAACAAACAAACAAACAAACAAAAAGAGAAAGCCUUAAAGGGAAAUUCUUGGAAAAGUUACAAAAUCAUCUGAGAGAAAAGAAAGAUGGGGAGGAACAAAUGUGCAAUAAGGAAAGUGUGCUUUGCAUAAUGCUGCCCACUCCAUCUGAAGGAGCCUCCAGAUGUUCCGUGUUACUCUCAUGUGACUGUGAGUUGUGAAAUAACUGGUGUGCUGCAAAGUGAGAAAAUCAACGCUGUGUUCUAGGCAGCUUCUGAUAUCAAGGGAACGGCAGAACUACUUAUUUGGUAGAAUUUGCUUCAGAGCAUGUUUCAGAAUUAGCUCAUCACUCACAACAACACCUUUUACAAGUCGAUGUGAGUUGUCUCCUUGGGAAAAAGCAGCUGGCAGAUGAGGCAGUCAAAACCUAUUUUUCCAAAAGCAGCCUCUGAUCUGAACAUAGAGACACUGUGAGUAUUCAGUCUGAAAAACAAGGGCUGCAUUUUUCAAAACUGCUGAGCUUUGCUGGGUCCUAUCUGAGAGUGCUGGAACUGCAAGCCCUGACCACCCUCCAGAAUGAUGCCAGAGCAAGCUCCAGCUGAACCACUCAUUUCCCACAGACAUCAUUGCCAGUGACUUUUUGUUGCUGACUGCAGGUGGAAACAAGCAUCCCUGCUGUGCAUGUUGUAAGCCCAGAGCCUCAAUGACAAUCUAAAUCAGAAAUAGAUGGAGACGACCAACAGGAAAGGCAGAUGCUUCUGGCACCAGGCCUAUGCUCAGACAACUUUCACCUUAAUUUUAUUGAGACUUUUUUUUUUUUUGUGCAGCAGUGGAAUUGAUCAAGUUCCAAAUCUGUACUAACUAUAGAGAUACCAAAAAUUUAAAAUCAGUAUAAGGUUAACUUGCUUAAAACUUUGAGAUUGCUUGGAGAAGAAUCACAGGAGUCCACAUAUCGGUAAUAAUCCAUUUGCUCAGUUUCCUUAUUUAUAUAAUAGAGUACAUAAGCUUAUCAUUCCAUGUUUUGAGACUUUAUUCUUGAAUUGCUGUCUCUGAGCUAUCUGCUUGGUUAACAAUGCACAUAUGGCAGUAACACAAUGGUUGGUAACACUUACUGUGCUUAUUGGUGUGCUCAGGGCAGUACAGCUUAUGCUCACAGCACUUAAUUAGAACCUGACUGAAAAGAAAUGGCUUGAUUGCUGGAAGACCCAGUAGGAAUAAGUCUUCAGCUUUGUAUAUAGCUUUCUAUGAAUGAGAAAUCUUUCCAAGUGGGAAAAACUGAGUGCUUAAGAAUGAAUACAAUAUGCAUGAGCUGGUGUGCCUGACCACGGGUCCGAAGUGCUGCCACAGCAAACAGACUAUACAGAAUAGCACUUUCCUACUUUCCUGUCUCAUUUCUAUAGCACAGAAUUUAGUGAAAAGAUGUGUCUUAUAACUGCAGUACAAAGGAAAAGAACUGUCCAUCUCUGGUCGGCCUAUCCAAGAUUCCCAUUGCGGUGGUAGGAAGAUACAGCUCCCUUCCAUACAAACGGGUCUGUGUGUACUUUAUGAGCUAAGUUAACUGAGUGAAUGUAGUGUUAACUACAUAUGAAAUAAGUAGAGAAAAAACAUACUUGGAUAAUUUUGCCAAGGCACUUGGGGCUUUUAUUACCAAGUCUCUAUAUUUAGUUCAUCAGCAAGUUUUUCUACAGGAACCAUAGCCAUUUCUCAAUCUCUCUCUCUCUGUUUUUUAUGGUUUUUUUUUUUUUUUUUUUUUAAAGUAAGGAGAGGUGAGAACUGCUCUGAAUAAGCACUGUUCAAGCAGCCUAUAAAAACUUCUCCACUUCUUUUCUUUGUUAAGAAUCUAUUUAAACUGUCUGUUAUCAUUGUUUAGCUUAAAAAGAAACUGCUUUGCUUCUUACAUGUCACAAGCUUACAUUAAAAGCAUCCUGGACAAGGCUUUUGCAUCAGUGGUCAAUAAUUUGCCUAAAAAAUAUGUCAAUUCAAUCCUUUUACCCCAAGGUAUGUAGUCCCACACCAUGGCAGCUACUCACCCACUUAAUGCUCUUUGACCUCACCAAUUAUAAAAUUAUUGGAUAUCAUCAAAUGACUUUCCAGUACCCAAGAUUGUGGCUUUGAUGACUUCUGUGCCUGAUUCACAUGAUUGGUUAAGAAAGUUAUUUAUGAGCAUGUUUCUAUCUGGUGAGGUUUUAUUUUUAUUUUUAUUUUUAUUUUUUUUGUGUGUGUGUAUGUGUGUGUGUGGUUUUGUUUGUUUCUUUGAUGGGGAUUUGCAGGGUUACAGAGACUGAGGAUCUUAACUCUUGUGAAUAACUCUUGUGAAAUAGGGCAGUUACCAGUUAUGUUGUUGGAGUGCUCCUCCUUCCAUUGCACUUUGCCAAUUUACAAUAACAAACUGCUUUGUCUUUAGCCAAACUACAAGACAUGUAGUCAACAAAUGCAAAUUCAGUUACCUGUGGUAUAUAUCUAGGUAGAUAGUAGAUAGAUCUUUCUCUGAACUCACAGUAAUUAUUUAGUGCUUGAUGGAUUGUUUUCCCUGGCCUCUCUUUCUUGGUCACCUCAGCUAGGCCAACAAGCAUUUAAGAAGGAGGGGGGGCAUGGCUAAGGGACAGAAGGGCUGAUGGAUUUGGGUACUUUAUUUGAGCACAAGCUCCUGGUGCUGUUUAGGGUGGCAUUACAUGCCCAAAUGUAGCAAUGAAGUCCUGGAGGGGUAUUAAGAUCAUUGAAAGUGCUGCCAAAAUCAGAACUUGUGUAAUGAUCUAAUAAUUAAAGGCACUUGUCCAAGAGGCAGGAGGAGAAGAAACAAAACCCUCCUCAACCCCAGGGGAUUUGAACACAGGAAGAUCAAGGAAGCUGCAUCUUUCCUGGAGUUUCUCCUAGCUAUUGUGUUCAGGACGAGGCUGGGUGAGGCCCGUCACUCCCUUGCCUUCUGUUGCAUGGGGAUCACUGCUUGGUAGGUAGUGAUGCUUUCAGGAGACAGAGGAGAGGAUGAAAACAGCAGCGCGCUGUCUCCUGUUCCCUGUGAGCCACUUCAGGUGCUGGAGGAGUUCUGGGUUUCUGCACUCCUCACUCUGUAUUCCUUGUGGCUGAAAUGCUUCAAGAGCCAUGAGAACCACAGUCCAGAAAUCUCCCCCUUUCCAAGGGAGCAUCCUUAUUACCUGGCAGCAGGGUCUGUGCCCUCCACAGGGCUGAGGAAUAUGGGCCUGCUCCAUGGGCAGUUUUUUGGGAGGCCUUCCUUCCAAACAUCACUCAGGGCCCAGACCUGGGUACCCAGAGCACCCUGCUCUGCUGCUCUUGGGGUGAAGUGCCUGUGGGCUGUCUGGUGGCUUCCUCGGGGUCCCUGCUGUGACACCACUGGUAAAGUUGUCCACAUCCCAUAGGGAUCUCUCAACUCUUCUACAGCAACCAGAAGUGGCUUAGGAACUGCUCACGCCACUCCUGUGCUCGAACAUAGAGCUCUUUUGAUGAUAUUAUUGACUGUAUUGUAGAAUAGUUAGAGGUGGAAAGGCCCUUUGGAGAUCAUCAGGCCAAUUCUUUGUCAAAACAAGGCCAGCUUUGGGCUUGUUCAGUAAUGAUGUUGAAAGAUGGCAUCUUUUGCUGAUCCAUCAUUUUAAGAGAGUUUUUAAAGAAGACUCUAGAGCCAUGGUAAAAUGACCACAGUGUACUUUAUUUAAUGAUUUUGGUACCUUGUGUUGCAAUAAAAUAAAAAAAAUCUACAAAA
RNA transcript from Centrocercus urophasianus (Greater sage-grouse), 5552 nucleotides. It is a transcript of the gene named transmembrane protein 68, with no coding region annotated. Lineage: Eukaryota; Metazoa; Chordata; Aves; Galliformes; Phasianidae. The transcript is spliced from 9 exons. The record is from RefSeq and is a predicted model, not a curated record.